GUGGGGAAUAUUGGGCAAUGGGCGCAAGCCUGACCCAGCAACGCCGCGUGAGGGAAGAAGGCUUUCGGGUUGUAAACCUCUGUCCUUGGUGACGAAAAAAAUGACGGUAGCCAAGGAGGAAGCCCCGGCUAACUACGUGCCAGCAGCCGCGGUAAUACGUAGGGGGCGAGCGUUGUCCGGAAUUACUGGGCGUAAAGGGUGCGUAGGUGGCCUUUUAAGUUGGAUGUGAAAUACCCGGGCUUAACUUGGGGGGUGCAUCCAAAACUGGGAGGCUAGAGUGCAGGAGAGGAAAGCGGAAUUCCUAGUGUAGCGGUGAAAUGCGUAGAUAUUAGGAGGAACACCAGUGGCGAAGGCGGCUUUCUGGACGGUGUCUGACACUGAGGCGCGAAAGCUAGGGGAGCGAACGGGAUUAGAUACCCCUGUAGUCC
Molecule: ribosomal RNA, 428 nt
Filed under: uncultured bacterium
Lineage: Bacteria
Description: partial 16S ribosomal RNA
Rfam family: Bacterial small subunit ribosomal RNA
Source: RNAcentral